CAGCAGCCGCGGUAAUACGUAGGGUGCAAGCGUUAAUCGGAAUUACUGGGCGUAAAGCGUGCGCAGGCGGUUUGUUAAGACAGAUGUGAAAUCCCCGGGCUCAACCUGGGAACUGCAUUUGUGACUGGCAAGCUAGAGUGUGGCAGAGGGGGGUGGAAUUCCGCGUGUAGCAGUGAAAUGCGUAGAUAUGCGGAGGAACACCGAUGGCGAAGGCAGCCCCCUGGGCCAACACUGACGCUCAGGUGCGAAAGCGUGGGGAGCAAACAGGAUUAGAUACCCGAGUAGUCCCUGUCUCUUAUAC
RNAcentral lists this ribosomal RNA (301 nucleotides) under uncultured bacterium. RNAcentral describes it as "partial 16S ribosomal RNA". It matches the Rfam family "Bacterial small subunit ribosomal RNA", at positions 509 to 807 of the family's 1533-position model. The record is from RNAcentral.